This 460-nucleotide ribosomal RNA is filed under the name uncultured bacterium. Its description in RNAcentral is "partial 16S ribosomal RNA". It matches the Rfam family "Bacterial small subunit ribosomal RNA", at positions 338 to 795 of the family's 1533-position model. The record is from RNAcentral.
CCUACGGGCGGCAGCAGUGAGGAAUAUUGGUCAAUGGACGAGAGUCUGAACCAGCCAAGUAGCGUGAAGGAUGACUGCCCUAUGGGUUGUAAACUUCUUUUAUAUGGGAAUAAAAUGUUCCACGUGUGGGAUUUUGUAUGUACCAUAUGAAUAAUGAUCGGCUAACUCCGUGCCAGCAGCCGCGGUAAUACGGAGGAUCCGAGCGUUAUCCGGAUUUAUUGGGUUUAAAGGGAGCGUAGGUGGAUUGUUAAGUCAGGUGUGAAAGUUUGCGGCUCAACCGUAAAAUUGCAGUUGAAACUGGCAGUCUUGAGUACAGUAGAGGUGGGCGGAAUUCGUGGUGUAGCGGUGAAAUGCUUAGAUAUCACGAAGAACUCCGAUUGCGAAGGCAGUUCACUGGACUGCAACUGACACUGAGGCUCGAAAGUGUGGGUAUCAAACAGGAUUAGAUACCCCAGUAGUC